This 253-nucleotide ribosomal RNA is filed under the name uncultured bacterium. RNAcentral describes it as "partial 16S ribosomal RNA". It matches the Rfam family "Bacterial small subunit ribosomal RNA", at positions 524 to 776 of the family's 1533-position model. The record is from RNAcentral.
UACGUAGGGUGCGAGCGAUAAUCGGAAUUACUGGGCGUAAAGCGUGCGCAGGCGGCUUUGCAAGACAGAUGUGAAAUCCCCGGGCUCAACCUGGGAACUGCAUUUGUGACUGCAAGGCUAGAGUACGGCAGAGGGGGAUGGAAUUCCGCGUGUAGCAGUGAAAUGCGUAGAUAUGCGGAGGAACACCAAUGGCGAAGGCAAUCCCCUGGGCCUGUACUGACGCUCAUGCACGAAAGCGUGGGGAGCAUACAGG